UCGUGUAUUAUUUUUGUUCUGGAACGAAAGCGAAUUGAAACAAGUCAUGUUUUCAUGCCCCAUGCAUACACACAUAUGUAGUUACUAAUAUAUAUAUGUACAUACAUGUGCACAUAUGUACAUAUGUAUGUAUGUAUUUAUUAUUUAAGUAGUAAUAGAUCCUGUAGUAGUGCGAAUAGAAUUCGCGCAGACAGGGCAAUAUAAAUCGUGCGCUGCAAUAGCAAACGAAACGGUCGCAAAGAGCAAAAGUAAAGCUCAAUACGUGCACACCAUCAUAGAUGAAUAUGUUAUUGCUGAAACAUAAAAACAAAAAACUAUAUUUUUGGUUGCGGAGCGCAAAAGCCCCAACCAGAGCAAAAAACACUAACACAUCAACAACAGCGCGCACAAGCACACGGAUAAAAAUACAUACAUACAUAAAUACAUUCGCGCGAGCAAAGAAUGCUACAGAACUUUCAAACAUUGCGCAAGGGACAAGUAGAAUACAUGAAUGAAAGAACGGCAAUGGCAGAGAGUGUGUGUGACGGAGAGGGAGAAGGAGAGAGAGAAAGAUAGAGAGAGAGAGAGGAAGAUAGAGAGAAUGAGUGAGAGCGUGAAUGAGAGAACGAAAUGCGGCUGAAGGCCACGACGUGUUGUGUGGAAACGAUGGCAGCGAUGGUAGCAUCGGUGUGUGGGGCAGUAGGGCAACUAUGAUGGUGUGGAAGAACAACAGGAACAGGAAGAAACGUCAAAAACUUAACGAAACAUAGCUGCAAGUGUGAGUGAACGUGCGACGGAGAGCGAAUGCUAGAAGCUAGAAGCGACAUACACACACACACGAAAGCAUCGCGGCUUCCAUGAGGCCUGCGUCUAACGGCGACGACAUUGAGCGGUGGCACCUUUAACCGAUCGCAGCACAGCGCAGUUCCUGUUUGAGUGUCCGCGUGUCCGUUGCGUAGCUUGUGUGCGGAAUGCGGAAAUAAAAGCCAGUUAAAAUUCGGUAUAAAUACAUACAUAUAUGUAUGUGAGUUUGUUUCGUAUGCAUAUUGCGUCGUGCUUGUGGUCCUGCCACGCAAAAUGCCGCAAGCAACCCUCGUUUAAGCCGUUAGCGACAAAAGCCCAAAAAUAAAAACAAAAAACACAAAAUCUGAGCUGAGAGAUGUGAAGAAUGUAGCAAUGAGUUGUGCCAGCUUCAGCAUGGAAAUUUAAUUAGCGACACCCGAGUGAACCAGCUACAACAACAUCAAUGAUAGCAAACACACACACACUCUACAUAGAGAUACGCCUACACAUAAUGGAGGACAAAAAGGGCCAGCGAAGUAAAAGUAAACAAAUAAUACCAAAAAAAAAAAAAGGGAAAAAAUUAAGAAAAAUAAAUCAUGCGAGCAGAAGAAGAAGAGCUACAAAAUGUGUUCAGCUUUCGCAUGACGCCAGCAAACAGCAGCGACUGCGACAGCGACCGAGGCAGAGCCAGCAAAUGGUAAACAGCAAUAGCAGCAGCAAUAAAGGAAGGAACAAUGAAAAUGCAGCAGCAGAGAGUCGUCGCCUAGCCAGCCCUCCCUUGCCCACUGUUGCUGCUGCAACUGACGUUGGCGCGCUGUGUGUGCGAGCGAGCGGACAAACAAAAAUGGCGCAUGACAUGCGCACUGAGCAAGCGGCUAACUUGAACUUGAAAAUGUUUUUAUUGUUGCGCUUGUCGUCAUCGAAGGUUGUGUGUGUGUUCCAUUUAAUAUGACGCGACUGCGACACCAGCAGAGCACAGAGAGCAGCGCAAAGCCGGCAACUAACAAAAAAAGAGUGGAAAGCAACGAAGAGAGACUGGGACAGAGACACAACGAGCGGGAGACGCAGAGAGUAAGAGAGCGCAGCGAGGGCGUAAGCAAGAGUGAGCACGCUGCUAGGCUAAGCUUGCUAGCAGCAGGUAUGUAUAUAUGUAUGGAUAUGUGUGUGUGUGUAUAUAUGUAUGCAUAUAUGUCUGCACCAUGUGAGAGGUAAAUAAGUCAAUGUGAAAAGAAAAACAAAAACAAACGACGAAGUGAGAGAAUGCGAAAGCUUUUUAUUAUAGCUUUUGCGUGGGUGACUUAAAGCAGCGCAGUUGCGUCGCUGCCGACGUCUGACAACUGUUUGCUUUUGUUGUAUGCCCCAUAGCCAGCUGCCCGAAACUUUCUCUUUCGCUGCGUCAAUGUGUGUGCAUGUGUAUAUGCGUGUGUGGGCGUGUGAGUGAAUAAUGCUGUUGCAUAUUUACUGGGAUACAAUGACGCGCACCUGUGCGAACACAGCUGCAGCCAACAGGAUGCUGUUGCGGCUGCGAUGCCUAGUUGCCAGCCCGUCACACAGUUAUUCAGUUCUUCAGUGGUUCAGUGUCGAACGCACUCCCGUCGAGGUCAGGCAGCUACGAAACGAAGCACAGUUGCCAUACAUGCAUACAUACAUACAUACAUGCAUACAUAUAAAUAAAUAACUAUCUAUAUAGAUAAGUUAGUAUGUCUGUGUGGAAUUGCUAUAUGAGUGGGUUAAUUGUGUGACGCGUUGCUCGAAGUAAAAGAAGCAGACAAAAAAAAAAAAAACAAUUUGAAAACCAAAAAUAACAUUCAGGUGUGGAAAAAUUGAUUAGCAGCUAAAAAUAUAAAUGUGUGUGUGCGUGUGUCAGCGUGUUUCUGUGUGAAUUUUUCUGUACUGUGUAUGCGAUUUUCCUUCAUAAUUUUUAAUGUUUUCCUAGCAUAUGGAAAGCAAAUUCUGAAUAAUGUAUGCGGUGCACACACACAUAUAUAUAGACACGCACACACACACACUCUGAGUCUUAGCUCAUACUGCGCCUUGGCAUAUGCAACACAUUUUGGUCUUGUAUUUAUUACGCUUUGACCUUUUCAUAUACACACACAUACACAAACGCACACACACGCCCUUAGCACACGAUGCGAUGCGUAAGCAAAAGCAGCUUUUCUAUUAUUUACUAUGCAACUUACAUAUAAAGUUAACUACAUAUAUAUGAAUGUAUGUAGAUAUAUUGUGUAUGUAUGUAAUUAUGUAUGUUUGUUUUUUACAUUAAACGGGCAGAUGGCAAAAAAUUUAAAUCAUUAAAGGCAAAACAAUAAAAAGAAAAUGUUUCUAUUUUGAAAUACAGUAAGAGCUCUUUAAACCGGGCACCUGAGGAAUAUUUGUGCCUUAAUGCGAUGUGGCUAGAAUAAAAUAAUAUUAGAAAGCAUGUUACAAAAAAA
This is a long non-coding RNA of Drosophila mojavensis, 3197 nucleotides long. RefSeq lists it as uncharacterized. NCBI's taxonomy places the organism in Eukaryota, Metazoa, Arthropoda, Insecta, Diptera, Drosophilidae. The transcript has 2 exons. The record is from RefSeq and is a predicted model, not a curated record.